RNAcentral lists this long non-coding RNA (8972 nucleotides) under Musa acuminata (dwarf banana). RNAcentral describes it as "long non-coding RNA (MACU_LNC001504)". The record is from RNAcentral. Lineage: Eukaryota; Viridiplantae; Streptophyta; Magnoliopsida; Zingiberales; Musaceae.
UUAGCUCUUUCUGCCAGUAGUUCACAGGAACUAAAAUUACUUUCUCUCACUAGUAGGAACUCGGAAAAAUGAUCCCUACUCCUGUCACUUUGCUCCAUCACAGCUAAGGAGGAAGGAGUGACAACAUACCAGAAAAGAGAUGAUCCAAAAUUCAUAAAAGCAUUUCAAAUUCACAAGAGCAGUGAAAGCAGAGGCCACCUCCGCUUGUGCCUCGAGGAUCACUUGUUUCAUAUUGGUGCAGCCGCUUAGCUUCGGAAUCUUGGACGAUGUAAGUCGAAGGACCGACGAGACGACAGUGAGAAAUCGUCAGCUGUCGAAGGCGACGAAGCAGAUCUUCCGGAAUGACUUCUUUCCAUUUGAUAUCGACGAGUGUUUCAGAUUGGACAGUUGGAUCGUUUUCUAACAUCUCAAGACUCCAUUUGCGGCGCCGAUGACUCUGCUCCUCCUGGAUUUCAUCGUCGUCGGUGUGCCCCAACUCCGACGGCAGUUAAAUUAAAAAUUAUCUAAUGAAGAACAUAAAACUCUUAAACAUCUUUAAAAAAGAUAUAUCUUUUUAUAUUCAUUGAUUUUUUUUCUUAACAUUAAUUAAUUAAUAUGAAUAAUAUAUUACUUUAUUUAAAUUAUUAACUUCCUUAUUUAUGUAGUAUGAUUAAGGAAAUGAUUAAAAUUGAUUUCCUUAAUUAUAUGGAUAUGUUAGAAAAUUUUCUAAUUAAUUAAAUUAUUAAUUGAUUUAUUUCUAAUGAGUGAUGUAACUUUUAGGAAGUAAAAAGUUUAUAUUUUAUUUUUGUGUUUUAACCAUAAGAAAUAAAUAUUAUAUUUUUAUCUUUGUGUGUGAAAGUAAAAUAAAAUUAAAUCAUUACUAACGGAGAGCUCAUCUUGUAGGCUCCUCCUCUUUUAUUUCUCUUGUUUUGAAAUAUUUAAUAUUAUGAUUAUUAUAAUUUUAUGAUAUAUAAUAAUAUUUUUAUUUUUUAAUUUUUAUGAUUAAUAAAUAAUGAUAAUUGAUUUAUGAUGUUUGAAUGAUUAUUUUACUUAUAAUGGUCUCUUAAGCUUAAGUGAAUUUUAAAAUUGAUUUAAUUGUUAAAAAUUUUAUUUUUGAAUUAACAUAAUAAUUUUAAUUUUUAAUUAGAUCUAUAUGUGUUUUAAGAAUUAUGUGUGAAUUUCUAUAAUUUAAUUAGUUUUAAAUUUAAGAUCAUGAAUUUAAAUUUUUUAAUUCAUAGGUUUAAAUUACUCUAUAAUAAUUUAAAAUAUUAAAAUAUAAUUUAAUAAAAUGAGUCUGAGUAGGUCUGACGUAAGUCAUGUUGAUUUGUUAAAUUGGGUCGACCCGACCCUUGUGGUCAUGUAUGACCCAACUUAUCUGACUAUACAUGAAUUAGCUUACGUAGUCAUGUACACCAAAUUCAUGUGGUUAGGCAUGAUCUAGCCCAUGUAGCCAUGUAUGAUCUAGCCCAUAUGACUCAAAUUUAUAUGGCCAAGCAUGAUAACCUAGCUCAUUUAGUUAUGUAUAACAUAGCAUAUGUGACGAAGCAUGACCCAACCCAUAUAGCCAUGUCUGACUCAACUAAUAUGGUCAGGCAUGACCUAGCCCAUGUAGCCACGACUCAACCUAUAUAGUCAAAUACGACUCAACUCAUGUGAUUAUGUAGGACCCAACUCAUAUGAUAAAAUAUGACAACUCAUGUGGCCAAGCAUAACCCAACUCAUAUGAUCAUGUAUAACCCAACCCAUAUGGUAAUAUAUGACUCAACCCAUAUGACCAAGCAUAAUCCAACUUAUGUGGCCAAGUACGACUCAAUUGAUGUGAUCGGAUAUAACCCAAACUCAUGUGUCGAUGUAUGACCUAACCCGUGAACUAAGCGUAACCUAAUUUAGUGGUAAGGCUCAGCUCAGUCCACGAAGUUCAGCCUACCCAACUAUGCGAUUGGUGUUAGGCACAUUAUCGUUCCUCUAUACAUCCCAUUGUACCUCAACCUAACAUAUUAUUUGGGAUAGGCAUGUGCAGCGCACAUGACUCAUUUAAGACUCAUAUGAGUUGAUUUGGUUUGACUUAGCACUAUACAACAUAGUCUAAUUUCCUAUCUUAUUAUUGGUUUAAGCUCGUUAAUUGACUGAAUCAUAAUAUUUUAUUGAUUCAAACAGAUUUUGGGUGAUUUUAGACCAACUUGACUAGUUCAAAACUACUUGCCCUAAUCGAAAUCAAUCAAAUCUAAAUUGACCAGUCUAUGGUAAUUCAAUAUCAGUCCUAUAAGGAUUUGAUAUUGGUUUCGUUAGCUCCUAAUUGAAUAGAAUUUUGUUCAAGUUAAUUGAGCUAUUCCAAUUAGGUUUUGGUUGAUUGAGAAUUAAGUCAUUGAUUUCUUAUGUUUUUAUGAUUUGAUGAAUUUAAAAAUUUUAUUUGAAAGUAUUAUUUGAAAAUGAUUAUUAGUUUUUAACUUUUUAAGUUUAUGAUAUUAAUAUGAUUGUUACAUGUAGUAUAUGUAACUAUGUUAGUGGUCUACAUUACAAGGGUAACCUAUGAAAGGAGUUGCAUGCCUAUUAUAGUAUGGAGCAACUAAUGGAUAUAGUUUAACAGAUUAUACAUAAAAUAUGGUUCCUCAUAGUAUUUUAUUAUACUAUUUCUUGGAUACAUGUGUAAAUGAAUGGAUUAAUGAUCAUGGCUAUUUAUGUAUCUCUUUUGAGGAUAGGUAAAUAUCUCUUUUGAGGAUAGGUAAAGUGACUCCAUUCGGAGAUUAGCAAGCUAUCAAAUAUGAUAGUUAGAUUAUUCAUAUUUGUGUAUACGAGAGAUAUCACUCUAUCCAUUAUUGGGAAUAUGAUAUGGGUUCUCUCUAUCUACCGUUGAAGUGAAUUCAUCCCAUUGAGUAUGUCUUUCCAUUCGUUAUUGGGAGAGUACACCAUCGAGUGUAAUGUACGUCUUUGUUAUGUAUGUGUUGUAUAUAACUAAUGUAUAUUUUUAUUUAUUACAUAAGAAUUAUCAUUAUUUUUUUGAUGUAUGAUUUUUAAUGAAUCAAUAAAUUAUUAUUUCAUAUUAAAUUAUUGAUAUUUACAUAUGUUUCAUAAAUAUUGAAGAUUAUUUUUAUAAUUUUUUAAAUAUUCCUAGCAUGUGUGAUUAUUGAUAUAUUUUUAUCUUAUAUUUAUUUUCAGAAUAAUCUACUACUUGGUAAUAAAUCUAAGGUUUAGAUUUUAGAGACAUUUUCUUCGCUUUUAGUUUUACCACGAAGAUAGGGACUUGAAUUCAAGGAUGAAAAAAAUAAAGUGUCUUCUGUAAAUUAUGAAUGAUAAAAUAAUAAUUUAAUUUUUUUUAUAAAUAUGAUAUGUGAUAAUUUAAUGAUAUCAUAACAAUGAUUUUGACGAUCUAUUAGAAUAUAAGAUUUUAGGGUUAAAAUAUUAGAUAGGCCAAUUAGUUUUUGAGAUUUAGAUUUUAAAAAUUAUAUAAUAAUACAACUAAAGCAUUUUAAAAAUAUUAAGAUCAUUUUAUUGAGUCAAAUAUUAUUUAUUUAUUUUUUGUAAGAAAAUGAUUAGUUAAAAAUGUUACAUAAAAGAGAAUCUUGAUGGGUGCAAUAGCCAUAUGGGAGUUGGUAGACUUGACUACGCGCACCGACACCUUGUCAAUCAUCUUUUUUUUUUUCCGUAUAUUAUUUUCUAAUUAAAGAAUAGGUCAGUUUCGGAUGGAUCUAUUUGGAUCAUAGCUUAAGUGAAUGAACAUCUUUCGUGUGUGUAUAUAUAUAUAAAGGUAUUUAAAAUAAAUAAAUCGAUUAAUUGAUUAAUCAAACCGAAUUAAUAAGUUUCGAAACGAUUUGAUUAGAUAAAAUUAGAAUUAAUUUUGAUUCAAACUAUCUUAUCUAAAUUGAAUCGAAAAAAACAAUUCGGUUCGGUCCGAUUUGAAUGCAUCUGAUCACCCGGAAACCAGCUGAUAAGAGGAUAAGACCCCGACAUUGUGUUGUCAUCCCCGUCAACGUGGAUAAGCACAUCGAACUAAUGUGCAUCCGCUAGCAAGGAGACUGACGGAACUAAUGUACUAAUUGGGCUCAUUAAAUUAUUUAUUUAUUUAAUCUAAAUUAAUUAUUUUUAUAUAUUGUUUUUCGGCUUAUUAAAGACAUGAGAGAGAGAGAGAGAGAGAGAGAUGAGAGGGUGGCUGAAGUCAAUAGUUUUGUUGCCAAAGCGUUCACGUGGCUACAAAUCAGAAGAACAGAGAACGCGGAGGACGAGAGAGAGAGAGAGAGAGAGAGAGAGAUGAGAGGGUGGUCAAUAGUUUUGUUGCCAAAGCGUUCACGUGGCUACAAAUCAGAAGAACAGAGAACGCGGAGGACGCGUCUCCAUUUUGCUUUCUCUCUUUCCCCGACGAAGAAGGUAGAAGGACCUAGAGACUUCCCUCCCUCACUCCUUAUACUCGAAAACUAUAAAAUCAUCUGAUACCACAUCAUACUUGUCACUGCUUUCUCCACUCCACCCUCUCUCCUUAUCGGUCGAAAUCUGCAAGAUGAAUCCACCAUCAGAGUCUCGCUCAAGUCAUCAGGUUCUUCUCAUCCCUUCUUCCUCUUCUUCUUCUUCUUCUGCAACCAAACCGGAGAAGUUCUCUCUCUCUGAAUCCACCAUCAGAGUCUCGCUCAAGGCCUCAGGUUCUUCUCAUCCCUUCUUCUUCUUCUUCUGCAACCAAACCGGAGAAGUUCUCUCUCUCUCUCUCUCUCUCUCUCACAGAUCUGCUCGCUCUUUCACAAACACCACUCCUCCUCGAUCCUCUUCUUCACUAAUUUGAUGUUUGAUUGUCUCGCAGCAACACGAAACCACUGUUCCUUCCACGACCGAGAUCCAGUUGCGGUCAACGGUCGAUGGCAUAUUUCAGAACUCAUGGGAAGCUGUAAGCACUCAGUUAGUUCCUUCUCAGAAUAAUAUGAAUCAUUGUUUAUUGUGCUACAACAAGAAUUUCUGCUUUUUUUUCCUUGAAUUUCCUGACACAUCUUUUUCUUUUUGGAUCCCCCAAACAAAUUUACAUAUGCAAGAAAUUAAGCUUCUUGGGAAGAUAUGCAACUUCUCAAGACUUGUUUAAGCCUCAAAAUAAAUUUUGAUAAGACAAAGACACGUGCAUUAGUUCUUCUUCUAUUUGCUUGCUAUAAACAACUUCCAACAAUAGGUUUUUCUGUAUCGGAUGGAAACAUGUAUUUAUUCAUUGCGUUGUCUUCUUCAUGUUUAUCCCUCCCUUUAGGUCUUCUAUUUCUUCUUUUCUCAAGAAUCUGAGGAUUUUGAUUUUGUCUAUCUUUGAUUCAGGCAGAAAGAGGUGAAGUUGCAAGAGGUCAUGAAACAUGUAGCUAUGAAUCCAAGUUGAAGCAAAUCCUACAGUUCGCCUUCAUUGAUAUAAUCAUCAGCUUAAUGGCAGUGUUUGCAGUUUUCAUAGCACAGCGAGAUCUGAAAGGCCAUGCAAACGAAUUGCACCUUCUUAUCUGCGGCUUCCUCACCACCUGCAGUCUUCUCUGUGGAGUAACCCUAAUGUUCUUCACCAUCAAUUUGCUAAGUCGCAAGGAUCACAGUGUCCACAGAGGCCAGCAUGUGACCACCGUUUUCCUCCUCGUCCUUUCAUGCGCUCUCCUCAUCCUUACAGCUGCUGGUUUCUCAACUCUCCUCCAUAAACGCUCCAUGUUUCUGGCAGCCCUGCUUCCGGGAUGUUUGCUUCUCGGCACCCUCCUCUACUUCAUAUUCCACGCAGGGGAUGAUCAUGAUCAGAAUUCCACAGGAUAUGCGAGCUAUAAAUCAGAGCUGAAACAUUCGUUGGGUCUCUCAUCCACUGUUGUCUCCCUUGCAUUCAGUGGGCUGAUAACUACUCUUAUUGGGACCGCUAAAAGUCAUUCGGAUCAAGCCCUUACCAUAAACACGAAGAUCUGCAUCUUUCAGAUGUUCUUCGCCGCCAUGUUCGGCCUUCUGUUGAUGCUGCUCAGCUCAGUCCCACCAAGCUUCAAGCAGCAAAGCACCAGGGAGUUCCUUACCAAGCUCCUCAAAGCACUCAGCUACUCUCUGCUGGGCUCAUUGGCACUCAUAGCCGCCACGGCGGCUUCUGCUUUCCUUGACGUCUUCCUUGUACUGGUUCUCCUGCCGACGCCAUUUAUUGGAGUCACUCUUUGGUUCUGCAUAGAGUGGCACAGCACCCAGAAACAGCCGCACGGACCGCGCACUACUACCAACGUUGGUCAUGAUCUCAAGCUCAAACUCAUUUCCAAGGUCGCUACUACCACGACAUCCAUCAGCUUCGGAGGUCUUAUGGGCGCCUUCUCAGGAUUUAUCGGCAGAAAAGGCAGUGAAUUGCAGCUCAAGCUCUGCGUGUUGGUGAUGUUCUUCGCAUUUCUAUCCAGUUUCAGCGUGAAGCUGCUCACUUUCAGGACUCCAAAGCCAGGAACUCUGAUGACAGUAAUCAAAAUCUUAAGCACUUGCUCCGUCUUGUUACUCCUAUUCUUCGCCAUUGUCGUCUUCUUCCUCGAGUUCUUGGGUGGCUAAGCACCACGAAGAAGACUACUUACUAGCUGUCGGGGAAAUAAUGCAUACGGCAGUGGGAUUCGGUCAUAUCCUGAGAGAUCAGAUGGAAUGUGACCUUUGCAUUUGAUUGCAGAGUAAGUUUUUUUUCCUUUUAGAAUAAAGAUAGAGAAUUUGAUUACAGCAUCAGUUGUUGUCUUAAUUGUCUUAAUUGCUCUGUGUGUGCCCACAUGACUUCCAGAGACUUGUAGGGUUCAUAGAGAUGUGGUCCAUAUGUUUGAACUUUGGUUUGGCCGGCUCUGUAAAAAUUCGAUUUUAAUUAAAUAUCUUCUAUUAUCUCUCUUUUUCCAUAUUCAUCCUUUAGUUCUUUUAUUUUUUAUAUUAUUAUUAUACUGUCGAUCAAUGUCUGUAGCCUCUUUCACAUCCUAAGCAUUAUCUUUUAUUUGGAGAUGGAUUUGUAAUAGUGUGUGCUCAUGUUCUUCCUCUACCAACCUUUCAUAAUGUCUAUUUUGUGUAUCACAUUAAUAUCUUUAGGCUUUUCAUACCCUUCUCUUGCCACCUCUCUCCACUCGUUUCACUGGUCGCUUACAGUACAUGCCCUAGAAAAAAAAGGCUCAUACUCCAAAACUACAUGGAUUUUCCAUCUUUCUACAAUAUUUACAAACAGAUCGGUUCCAUAGAAUGUGUUCCUGAUGAAUAUAUGCAUCGAUAAAGCAUGAGAUUGCAAGAAUCUGAUGGAAAAUAUGUUAGGUUUCUGAUUGAAAGGUGCCUAUUACGGUGGUAUGUUUCAGAAAAAUGGUUACUUACUAGCAAAACCUGUGGAUGACAGUGCUAUCGAGAUGGAAAGGCAGAAGCGAAAGCAUAAGAUGCUAACCUCGAAGUCCGGAAGAAGUCUAUCGGAGCAGUUCAUGUGGAAGAUGGACGACAGUUCCCUCAGUAUAUCUGCAGAAAAGUAAGAAGAUCAGCUGCUGUCCCUAUGACUAUCCUGCGAGCUGUACUAGUGAAAUUAUUUGCAUAGAAGAUCUGAUUAGGGGAAAUGAAACUCGAGCGAGGGAGUCUGACCUGAAAGAUGAUGAUGAUGAUACAGUGAUGGUGAGAGCAGUUCUUACCAGAUCUAAGAUGAGUUUUGAGUACUGCUUGCAACCAUGGCUAAAUCCAACGAGCAAUGCAAAUGAUGUGUAAGGACAGAAGAUGCUCGUCUCAACUUGAUGUAAUGUAUUAUUUCCCUUCUCCAAGCUGUUUAGGUGCAUCUGCAUUCGGGCUGGAUUAAGAAUUUUCUAUUACCCAUAGUUCAUAAUUAAAGACUGUGCACUAUAUUAUUUUAUAUAUCAGUUGGUUAGUUUAGCUCUUUCUGUCAGUAGUUCACAGGAACUAAAACUACUUUCUCUCACUAGUAGGAACUCGGAAAAAUGAUCCCUACUCCAUCACAGCUAAGGAGGAAGGAGUGACAACAUACCAGAAAAGAGAUGAUCCAAAAUUCAUAAAAGCAUUUAAAAUUCACAAGAGCAGGGAAAGCAGACGCCACCUCUGCUUGUGCCUCAAGGAUCACUUGUUUCGUAUUGGUGCAGCCGCUUAGCUUCGGAAUCUUUGACGAUGCAAGUCGAAGGACCGACGAGACGACAGUGAGAAAUCGUCAGCUGUCGAAGGCAAGGAAGCAGAUCUUCCGGAACGACUUCUUUCCAUUUGAUAUCGACGAGUGUUUCAGAUUGGACAGUUGGAUCGUCUCUAACUGAUCUUGGCUCCAUUUGCGGCGCCGAUGACUCUGCUCCUCCUGGUCGGUAUGCCCCAACUCCAAUUUCACCACGCUAUAGCCGUGCGAGAUUACCAGCCCGCCACAAGGAGCUGUCGUGAUCAGCAGGCCACAAGAAGCAACUUCGGAAACACUUCUUCUUCCUGUCCGCCGCAAAUCUAUCUUCUGCUUCGUGUCCACGGCACUAGCACGCACAAGUUUAUUCUCGGAUACGAGGAAUGGUGGGAGAUUAUUCUCAUAUAUGUUGGAACUUUAUAGAAUUCCACAUUAAACUAAAAUCUUCAGAGGAAAGCAAGACGAUGCGAGGGCAGGAAAUCGAAAGAAAUGGUUUUAGGAAGGGUCUAUUAGUCUUUGUUCCGAAACUUGUCGAAUUCUAACAAGAUAAUGUCGUGUCCAUUAUUGUUUGACAUGACAGGUCUCACUCACAUCCUUUUCGAAAGCCACUACUCUAUCAUAAUCUCCUCCAAUGGGCAAGUGGUUCUCAGCUGCCAUCAAAUCAUCCUCUUCUCCUUGGUGUCCACGGCACUACCACGCGGAAGUUUCCACCGCAGUUUCUUUGCUCAUGGUUUGACAAUCGCGAAAGGAAGACAGACAUGCCUUAAAAGUCUACAACAAAUUGAAUGUGUGCGUGAAAGAGUCAGAGAGAGAGAGAGAGGGAGAGAGAGAGAGAUGGAAUAUAGUCGCGAGGAGAGCUUGAGAGAUGGAAAGGAAGCUUAGAUUUCAUUGAGGAUGACGAAUGAGAGAGAGAGAGAGAGAGAGAGAGAGAGAGAUG